RNAcentral lists this unclassified non-coding RNA (1770 nucleotides) under Centruroides sculpturatus (bark scorpion). Its description in RNAcentral is "glycoprotein-N-acetylgalactosamine 3-beta- galactosyltransferase 1-like, transcript variant X2". Lineage: Eukaryota; Metazoa; Arthropoda; Arachnida; Scorpiones; Buthidae. The record is from RNAcentral.
AUGAAGACAUUGACAUCAAAACAACAGCUAAGGGAGUUCGAGUCUUAUGCUGGGUUAUGACAAGUCCAGCAAAUCACGUAAAGAAAGCCAAACACGUGAAAGCAACUUGGGGGAAGAGAUGCAAUAUUCUUUUGUUCAUGAGUACCCAAUACGAUCCCCAUCUUCCUAUUAUAAAAUUGAACGUUUCGGAGGGAAGGAAUUCUUUAUGGGGGAAAACAAAGUCUGCAUUCAGAUAUAUUUAUGAGCAUCAUAGAGAGGAUGCGGAUUGGUUUCUAAAGGCAGAUGACGAUACCUACGUAAUAAUAGAAAAUUUGAAGUAUUUUCUCAUGUCUCAAAAUACUUCGGAACCAAUAUACUUCGGGUGCAAAUUUCGGACUUUAGUGAAGCAGGGAUUUAUGAGUGGAGGUGCCGGUUACGUGUUAAGUAAAGAAGCUGUAAGAAGAUUUGUCGAAGCAUUAGACAAUAAUCAGUGUCGCAAAGAUGAUGGAGGAGCAGAAGAUGUAGAAAUAGGACUGUGCUUAGAGAAAAUAGGCGUCUUCGCUGGGGAUACUAGAGAUAGCAGAGGCAGAGGAAGAUUUUUUCCGAUGGUGCCAGAGAAUCAUAUAAUACCAAAUGCCAUCCCUAACAAUAGCUGGUAUUGGAAACUUAUAUACUAUCCAGUAAAAAAGGGUAUGAACUGCUGCAGCGAUACUGCCAUUUCUUUCCAUUACGUGCCUCCCAAUAUGAUGUAUGUGUUUGAAUAUCUUAUCUAUUACCUGAAGCCUUUUCGCGUAAUCAAUUCCACUCAUCAAGUUGGAAAUUCUUAGACCUAAUUGGACUCCCAAAUUAACUAUUAAGUACAAUAGAGUUUCUGUAAUCUGACGUAUAUAGGACCGGCGAGUGUCGGAUUACUGGAUUUUGUAUGUACAGUAAGUACAUUUAUGUACAGUUAUGUACAGUUAAACAUUAUAAAUGCAUUUUAUCAAUAAUAUUAACAUUUACUGAUACUUACUGUACAGUAAAACACGUACUUGGUUCAUAGGUUAGUUUAUCGUAUUAAUCACGAUUGUGACUGUUUUGGUGACCGAACCUGCAACGAACGAGCAAAAAUUAUUGUGACAUUGUCACAAUGCUGGGCUGAAAUUUUUAAUCAUUUUUUAUUUAUUUAAUUUAAAAUAUAUGUUAUCGAUUUUUGUAAUGUCUUGCUUCUGUACAGUACAUCAUACUUUUCCUAAAAACAAUAGAAUCAUACUGGUCAUCUGUCUAACUCUGUUCUGAAGAAAAUCUUUUGAAUUGAAAUCAUGUAGGAGCCUCCUGUCCCUAAGCUUUCUGUAUCUGAUCUCGACUUUGAUGACUUACUCCUUUCUUGCGAUUAAGGAAAGACAGGCAGGUGGACGUCAGUGGGAAUUUAUAGAUUUGCAAUUUGAUAACAACUAGUGACUGACAGUGUACGUAUACAUCAGUCUCUGUCAUGUACUGAAUGAACAUCGACAAGAAGUAACACAAAAAUUUGAUGUGCAUUGCCGUGGUUUGUCGCAUUACUGGACGUAUCGGACUGGCAAGUGAAAACUAGAGACUCUACUGUAACUUGAAGAAUUACACAAGAAAUUUUAAUUUAAAUCGUGAUUUGUCUUCGAUGUACAGUACAUUCUAUUUAUAUAAAACAUCUUUUGCUUCAUUUUAAACAUUAUAAAUGCAUUUUAUCAAUAAUACAGUAUUAACAUUUACCGAUACUUUCCUCUCGUCAGAAUUGUGGAUUAUGAUUAUCAGUUAAUGAUUCAUGUAAAGACU